AAUUGAGUAGUGAAACCAAACUCACUGCUCAUUUCAGUUCCUUCCAUUUCAACAUCGUCACCCUCUCACUUCUCUUAAACAACAAUCAAACAUCAGCAUGCCUGAUUUAUUUAAAAAAAAAUGUUCUUGUGGCAAAGGGCACGAGGGAAUCAAUUUCUUUGUAAUAAAGUGCUAAAUGAGCUUAGAUACCCUUGACAGAAAUUAAUCGAGAAAGGUCACUUUUUAUCUUAAGUUUACAGGAAAAGCUAUUCAGAGUCCUUGAAGUUGUUUGAAUUUCCUUUGAUCGCAGCUGUUUUUUAAUCAGUGACAAACCUUGAGUCAACUGGACUGCAAACUCAGUAGUUUCAUUGUGAACCAGGCUUACAGCUGCUCAUCUUACAUUAACCUAACCUGCUAAAAUAACUUGAGUAUGAACCAGCUCCACUUCAGCCAUUGCACACAAUCUUAUUCUCCACAAUGUGAUAUUAGUCUGCAGAUGAUGGAAAUCUAAAGCAAAGAACACGAAUGACUGUCCAAUAAUUACAGAAAAGGUACCACCAGCAUCUCCAGUACCUCUACAGUGAAACACGCAACUCCUCUUAAAGGGAUCUCCUUGACACCUCUGAGGAUGAGAGUCCUGAGGCCUCAGAAGCAGCAUUAACAAGUCUGCCUGCUACACCCCCAUUCUCCUUCAGAGAGGCAACUACAUCAUCUUGAAAUAAGAGGAAGGAAGUAUAUCAAGGCAGUGGUGCUGCUGACACUUUUGCCCCUCCUGGUAUAAUAUCCCCAGUCUAUCACCACCUCCUAAGUUUAAAAGUAUCAGUGUGUAUGAGUUAGUCAGAGAUGUCAGUGCAACUCAAAGAGGUGGGGGGGUGGUAAGAUUGUAAAGGGGCACAUUAGGAUUUACAAUCAGGAUAAUCGCAGCAGGCAGGACUGGGAACGGUGUUAUGUUCAGUGGGUAUUGGCCUAUUUAAUACAUACUGCAGCCAAGUGAUAUGCAUAUAUAAUGAAUUUCUCCAAGACAGUUCUUUGCUUGUGUACUGGUUUUACUUUUUAAACUAACUCCUCACAUUUUAUAUUUGUGAAUAGAUUUUGUGCAUCUUUUUUGCUGCCUCUUGCAUUUGCUAAAACCCAGAAGUAAUCAUUAACACAGUGCAUUGUUGGAAAUUACUUGAAUAACGUCGCUUCUUUCUGGAGAAAUAUCACAUAAUCCCAUGUGAACGCAGACUGGGCAGUUGUGUAAUAUAUUACAGCUGAUGACAUACUCCCCCAAAGUCCUUUAUCUUCCAAACUGUCAACACAAUAUGAUGCAUUACAGGAUGUUUUUUUUUCUUUACAUGGCAGUACUUUUUAAAACUAAACAGGAUGCUUGCCCCUCCACUUAAACGAGUGAAUUCAGCAAAUGUGCUGUCACAGUCAAGUAGUCAGCUUUUUCCCCUCUGCUCAGUCUCUGUGACACACUCCAAAUCA
Non-coding RNA from Chiloscyllium plagiosum (whitespotted bambooshark), 1449 nucleotides. NCBI's taxonomy places the organism in Eukaryota, Metazoa, Chordata, Chondrichthyes, Orectolobiformes, Hemiscylliidae. The record is from RefSeq and is a predicted model, not a curated record.